This 1006-nucleotide long non-coding RNA is filed under the name Gossypium barbadense (sea-island cotton). RNAcentral describes it as "long non-coding RNA (GBAR_LNC017569)". Lineage: Eukaryota; Viridiplantae; Streptophyta; Magnoliopsida; Malvales; Malvaceae. The record is from RNAcentral.
CCUCCUCAUUCUCUCCGGUUUAAUCCUAGCUGGCACCGUUAUUGCACUCACUAUAGCCACUCCACUCUUCGUUAUUUUCAGUCCAGUUCUUGUCCCUGCUCUCAUUGCAACAGCUCUCCUAGCAACGGGUUUCGUCGCCUCCGGCGGUUUCGGUGUUGCAGCCGUCACGGUUCUGUCCUGGAUUUACAGGUCCUUGAUCUUUUUUUCUUUUUUAAUGAUCUCCAAAAAUACCAUGAAAUUUCCUGUACUGGACUAUUUUUAUUUAAAAAAUAGUAAAUUAGUCUCUACAUUUUUAUCAAAGAUUAAAGAGAGUAAAUUUUAUCAAAGAUCAAAACGAAAUAUCUUUUCAUUAAAAAUUUCAUCUAUUUUUAUAAUUAAAAAUUUCAUAAAUUAGUAUGAGAUACACCUUAAUCAUUACAUGUUAAAGUCGUGUCAAUUUUUUUAGCAGUCCGUCGGGUCAGUCAAAUUUUAAUGUAAUUUUUUUUAAAUGAACAAAAAUAAUUAAUUUAUUUUUUUUACGUGAUUAAAUUUUUUAAAAUUUUUUUAUUAGAAAGUAAAAUUCAAUCCAACUGUUAGGGCUUCCAUGGCCCUCUUAGUAGCUUUUUCUUAUUCUUAAAUGACUAUAUAUACAGGUAUGUGACGGGGAGGCACCCACCGGCGGCGGAUCAGUUGGAUAGUGCGGGGAUGAAAUUGGCUAGCAAGGCACGGGAGAUGAAAGAUAGGGCGGCACAGCUCACCGGUGCGGCGGCUUCUUAAAUUAGUUCUCUACUGCAUGCUUUUGUAAUGGAGCUGUGCAAAAGUUCAGGAUCAAGUGGCCAUUAAACCGAUCCUUAAUGAUGAUGUUGUUAUGUUGUUGAUGAUGAAAAGAUGUUUUUUUCUAAAUUUAAAAGCAGCAUUAGAAACUUCGGGGGAUGAUGUGGCUGUCUGUUUAUGUUAAAAACUCCCAUGUAAUUGACUGUAAUAAGCACUACUUGUUUUUGUUGUUAGUUUGUGUGUUUGUUGGUUC